GCAUGAAGGCGCGCGAGGCGGAACAGGCGUUCAACGAGGCCAUGUCUGCGGUGCAGACCGAGAUGCGCCCAAUUGCGGCUGAUGCCAACAACCCGCAGACCAAGAGCAAGUACGCCUCGUACCUCGCCUUGGACCGCGCCAUGCGUCCGAUUUACACCAAGCAUGGCUUUUCGCUGAGCUACAAUACAGCGGACGGCGCACCCGAGGGUCACAUUCGCGUGGUCUGCGACGUUGCCCGUGGCGGCU
RNAcentral lists this unclassified non-coding RNA (246 nucleotides) under Hevea brasiliensis (rubber tree). The record is from RNAcentral. Lineage: Eukaryota; Viridiplantae; Streptophyta; Magnoliopsida; Malpighiales; Euphorbiaceae.